AUUGAACGCUGGCGGCAGGCCUAACACAUGCAAGUCGAACGGUAGCACAGAGAGCUUGCUCUUGGGUGACGAGUGGCGGACGGGUGAGUAAUGUCUGGGAAACUGCCUGAUGGAGGGGGAUAACUACUGGAAACGGUAGCUAAUACCGCAUAACGUCGCAAGACCAAAGAGGGGGACCUUCGGGCCUCUUGCCAUCAGAUGUGCCCAGAUGGGAUUAGCUAGUAGGUGGGGUAACGGCUCACCUAGGCGACGAUCCCUAGCUGGUCUGAGAGGAUGACCAGCCACACUGGAACUGAGACACGGUCCAGACUCCUACGGGAGGCAGCAGUGGGGAAUAUUGCACAAUGGGCGCAAGCCUGAUGCAGCAACGCCGCGUGAGGGACGACGGCCUUCGGGUUGUAAACCUCUUUUAGUAGGGAAGAAGCGAAAGUGACGGUACCUGCAGAAAAAGCACCGGCUAACUACGUG
This 468-nucleotide ribosomal RNA is filed under the name uncultured bacterium. Its description in RNAcentral is "bacterial SSU rRNA". It matches the Rfam family "Bacterial small subunit ribosomal RNA", at positions 30 to 507 of the family's 1533-position model. The record is from RNAcentral.